RNAcentral lists this long non-coding RNA (1451 nucleotides) under Marmota monax (woodchuck). Lineage: Eukaryota; Metazoa; Chordata; Mammalia; Rodentia; Sciuridae. The record is from RNAcentral.
GUAAAAAUGUCAGCAGCUGGGCCCCGUCCCUCCCCCCAGUGCUUGUGGGAAGCCAGCUCCCCCACCCCCUGCAGAGCUUGAGUUCUAUCCCUGCGCUGUCAUCUCACACGCCUUUGCCUUGCAAACCACAGAUUAGCACAAGACAAAGGGCCGCUGGGCUAGGAGCUGACCUCAAUACCUGCUUUUGAAAGUCCCUUGGCUUGGUCCGGAGCUGGGGGACACAGGAUGAGUGGGCAGUCCACAAGGACAGUUGGCUGGGCUUGCAGGACCCUCCCGUCUGCGUGUGGUGGAGUGCCUGAUGGGAGCAGCCCUGGGAGCACUCCGGUUUAUGCUACACGAUCUGAGAGCAGGAGGGACUCAGUUCCCAGAGGGGACUCCAUGCCAGAGCCGGUGUCUGGCAUGUGGACCAGAGGCCAGGAUCCCUCUGAAAUGGAGAAAUAGAGGGCGGGACACAACAGAACUGGCCACAGCAGCCCUUUUUGUCUGUCCCAGACCUGCCUGGAAAGGGUCCCCUCCGCCUUUUUCUCAGGGACAUCCCAAGUCCCUGUCUUGGGCCCUCCGUCUUCCUUCCAGCUGCCCCACUCUGGGGGACUCAGCACCAUAGUGAUGAGCCCAUUUUCCCCUCAGGCCCUUGUCACUUUUCCAUUUGCAGCAACCAGUUCCCCUACCCAGCAGCACCCCUCCCCCACAGGGCCUUGGCUCCUCCUGACCUCCAGGGGGUCCAUGGGCCUCGGCUCCCCCAGCCUCUUGGGGCUGCCAGCUGCCCAGGCUGUCCAUGAAUUCUGUCCCUACUCCAAUCCCCUGGGUCACCUUGAAAAAUGAUCCUUAGUCUUUAAUGAACCAAUCGGUUCUUUAGAAAGGACACCUGGAACUUUCUUUGCAGCUAGUAGCCCUGUCAACAGGAGCACUAUUGGAAUUGGGGCCUGGACAAAUCCCCAUUGUAUGGGACAGUCCCUUCCCCAUUGUAGGAUGUUGAGUGUCCCUGGACCCCUGGCCACUGAGUCUGGUAGCACCCCCUUAGUCGUUGUGGCAACCAAACAACAGAACACAUCCCCCCACUUCCCAAUGUCCCCAGGGAGGGCCAUGGUUCUUGACUAAGGAAGCGCCAUUCAUCUCAGGAUCAAAUUCUUUUUACUCCACAAACAGUCGCCAAGCAGCAUCUCCCCGCAGGACCAGUUAUGUGUGCCUGAUCAGGGCCAGCUCCCGCGUGUCAUUCAAUCUAGAGUGAACAGCAUGGCAGCCGCCUCCUCAGGUCCCUACCCUCCACCUGGGGACCACACAGAAGAGCGCAGCGCCUGAGUGGGCGCCUUUCCAUGAAGGAGUAGGGGUGGGUCGUCCCUGGAAGAUAAUUCUCAGCAAAGCAUUUCCUGGGAAAUCAUUGGCAUCAUUCCCCACCCCCUCCCUCCUCUUGCUGGUGUCCCCUUUAAAAAAAAAUUUGAUCAAUCAAAAUA